RNAcentral lists this non-coding RNA (120 nucleotides) under Lawsonibacter asaccharolyticus. RNAcentral describes it as "THF riboswitch". It matches the Rfam family "THF (Tetrahydrofolate) riboswitch aptamer". Rfam says of the family: THF riboswitch presents a pseudoknot that joins P1-P2 and the loop of P3 and two THF binding. Lineage: Bacteria; Bacillati; Bacillota; Clostridia; Eubacteriales; Oscillospiraceae. The record is from RNAcentral.
GCAGAGUAGGGGCAUGCGUGCUGGUCCCAAAGGGGACCGUGUAGUGCCGGCGGGACGGGGAGUUGUCCGCCGGACGAACAGCGCAGACGCGCGGCAGUGCAUGAUCCCGCAUCCCGCUGC